ACGCUCGACACCUACGGAGGCAGCAGUGGGGAAUAUUGCACAAUGGGGGAAACCCUGAUGCAGCGACGCCGCGUGAGCGAAGAAGUAUUUCGGUAUGUAAAGCUCUAUCAGCAGGGAAGAAACUGACGGUACCUGACUAAGAAGCACCGGCUAAAUACGUGCCAGNNGCGNGUANNGNGCGGNUGNAG
This 188-nucleotide ribosomal RNA is filed under the name uncultured bacterium. Its description in RNAcentral is "partial 16S ribosomal RNA". It matches the Rfam family "Bacterial small subunit ribosomal RNA", at positions 328 to 540 of the family's 1533-position model. The record is from RNAcentral.